Molecule: ribosomal RNA, 533 nt
Filed under: Enterococcus faecalis
Lineage: Bacteria; Bacillati; Bacillota; Bacilli; Lactobacillales; Enterococcaceae
Description: bacterial SSU rRNA
Rfam family: Bacterial small subunit ribosomal RNA
Source: RNAcentral
GAAUUGGAAGCAACAAGAAGAACCUUACCAGGUCUUGACAUCCUUGGCCCACUCUAGAGAUAGAGCUUUCCAUUCGGGGACAAAGUGACAGGUGGUGCAUGGUUGUCGUCAGCUCGAGUCGUGAGAUGUUGGGUUAAGUCCCGCAACGAGCGCAACCCUUAUUGUUAGUUACCAUCAUUUAGUUGGGCACUCUAGCGAGACUGCCGGUGACAAACCGGAGGAAGGUGGGGAUGACGUCAAAUCAUCAUGCCCCUUAUGACCUGGGCUACACACGUGCUACAAUGGGAAGUACAACGAGUGUAGACCGAGAGGUCAUGCAAAUCUCUUAAAGCUUCUCUCAGUUCGGAUUGCAGGCUGCAACUCGCCUGCAUGAAGCCGGAAUCGCUAGUAAUCGCGGAUCAGCACGCCGCGGUGAAUACGUUCCCGGGCCUUGUACACACCGCCCGUCACACCACGAGAGUUUGUAACACCCGAAGUCGGGGGGGUAACCUUUUUGGAGCCAGCCGCCUAAGGUGGGAUAGAUGAUUGGGGGG